UACGGGGGGGGCAAGCGUUGUUCGGAAUUACUGGGCGUAAAGGGCGCGCAGGCGGCUUGGCAAGUCGAGUGUGAAAUACCUCAGCUUAACUGAGGAAUGGCGCUCGAAACUACCUCGCUAGAGGGCGGGAGAGGGAAGUGGAACUCUCGGUGUAGGGGUGAAAUCUGUAGAUAUCGAGAGGAACACCGGUGGCGAAGGCGGCUUCCUGGCCCACAUCUGACGCUGAGGCGCGAAAGCGUGGGGAGCAAACAGG
Molecule: ribosomal RNA, 253 nt
Filed under: uncultured bacterium
Lineage: Bacteria
Description: partial 16S ribosomal RNA
Rfam family: Bacterial small subunit ribosomal RNA
Source: RNAcentral